CACGUAGGGCGCAAGCGUUGUCCGGAAUUAUUGGGCGUAAAGAGCACGUAGGCGGUCUGUUGCGUCCGCUGUGAAAACUCGGGCUUAACCCCGAGCCUGCAGUGGAUACGGGCAGACUAGAGGUAGGUAGGGGAGAAUGGAAUUCCCGGUGUAGCGGUGAAAUGCGCAGAUAUCAGGAGGAACACCGGUGGCGAAGGCGGAUCUCUGGGCCACUGUCUGACGCUGAGGAGCGAAAGUCGGUGGGAGAACAGG
Molecule: ribosomal RNA, 252 nt
Filed under: uncultured bacterium
Lineage: Bacteria
Description: partial 16S ribosomal RNA
Rfam family: Bacterial small subunit ribosomal RNA
Source: RNAcentral